This 247-nucleotide long non-coding RNA is filed under the name Pan troglodytes (chimpanzee). RNAcentral describes it as "long non-coding RNA NONPTRT017405". The record is from RNAcentral. Lineage: Eukaryota; Metazoa; Chordata; Mammalia; Primates; Hominidae.
AGAUGGCAUUGUUUGAGAAAGUCAGGGCUGGGCCUGGACUAGCAACAACUUAGUGAGUUGGGACAUCAGUCAGUCUUUCUGAGUUUCAUUUUUCUCAUGUCAAUACUAACACCUGUCCUGGUCCACAGAAAUUUUCUUGAAGACUUCUGAGAACAAAAAAUAGGUAACAAACAUGAAGAGCCUUAAUACCAGCUGAUUUGUGUCUCUCCUUCCAAAAUUCAUAUAUUAAAGUUCUAACCCCUAGUAC